RNAcentral lists this ribosomal RNA (259 nucleotides) under uncultured bacterium. RNAcentral describes it as "partial 16S ribosomal RNA". It matches the Rfam family "Bacterial small subunit ribosomal RNA", at positions 29 to 313 of the family's 1533-position model. The record is from RNAcentral.
AGCGAACGCUGGCGGCAGGCUUAACACAUGCAAGUCGAGCGGGCGUAGCAAUACGUCAGCGGCAGACGGGUGAGUAACACGUGGGAACGUACCUUUUGGUUCGGAACAACACAGGGAAACUUGUGCUAAUACCGGAUAAGCCCUUACGGGGAAAGAUUUAUCGCCAAAAGAUCGGCCCGCGUCUGAUUAGCUUGUUGGCGAGGUAACGGCUCACCAAGGCGACGAUCAGUAGCUGGUCNGAGAGGAUGAUCAGCCACAC